GUGAGGGGAGUUCCUUACUGAGACCUAGACAACCAGGUGAGGAGAGUUCCUUACUGAGACCUAGACAACCAGGUGAGGAGAGUUCCUUACUGAGACCUAGACAACCAGGUGAGGAGAGUUCCUUACUGAGACCUAGACAACCAGGUGAGGGGAGUUCCUUACUGAGACCUGGACAACCAGGUGAGGAGAGUUCCUUACUGAGACCUGGACAACCAGGUGAGGGGAGUUCCUUACUGAGACCUAGACAACCAGGUGAGGAGAGUUCCUUACUGAGACCUAGACAACCAGGUGAGGGUAGUUCCUUACUAAUUA
RNAcentral lists this long non-coding RNA (312 nucleotides) under Salmo salar (Atlantic salmon). RNAcentral describes it as "lncRNA (ENSSSAG00000110446.1)". The record is from RNAcentral. Lineage: Eukaryota; Metazoa; Chordata; Actinopteri; Salmoniformes; Salmonidae.